AAACACCCCGGUUCCUGUACGAUCACCGAAGUUAAGCAACGUCUAGCCUGGUCAGUACCUAGAUGGGUGACCGCUUGGGAAUAUCAUGUGCUGUAC
This 96-nucleotide ribosomal RNA is filed under the name Acanthosepion pharaonis. Lineage: Eukaryota; Metazoa; Mollusca; Cephalopoda; Sepiida; Sepiidae. The record is from RNAcentral.